GUGCUCACUUUGGCAGCACAUAUACUAAAAUUGCAAUGAUACAGAGAAGAUUAUCAUGGCCUCUGUGCAAGGACAACAUAUAAAUUCAUGAAGAAUUCCAUAUUUUU
RNAcentral lists this small nuclear RNA (107 nucleotides) under Propithecus coquereli (Coquerel's sifaka). The record is from RNAcentral. Lineage: Eukaryota; Metazoa; Chordata; Mammalia; Primates; Indriidae.